GUGCUCACUACAGCAGCACAUAUACUGAAAACCUGGAACAAUACAGAGAUUAGCAUGGACGCGGUGCAAGGAUGACAUACAAAUUUGUGAAAGGCUCCAUUAAAAA
Callithrix jacchus (white-tufted-ear marmoset) is the source of this 106-nucleotide small nuclear RNA. Lineage: Eukaryota; Metazoa; Chordata; Mammalia; Primates; Cebidae. The record is from Ensembl.